GACAGAGGGUGCAAACGUUGUUCGGAAUUACUGGGCGUAAAGCGAGUGUAGGCGGUUCGCUAAGUCGGGUGUGAAAGCCCCGGGCUCAACCCGGGAAGUGCACUCGAAACUGGCGAGCUAGAGUAUCGGAGAGGUUGGUGGAAUUCUCGGUGUAGAGGUGAAAUUCGUAGAUAUCGAGAGGAACACCGGUGGCGAAGGCGGCCAACUGGACGAAUACUGACGCUGAGACUCGAAAGCGUGGGGAGCAAACAGG
This 253-nucleotide ribosomal RNA is filed under the name uncultured bacterium. Its description in RNAcentral is "partial 16S ribosomal RNA". It matches the Rfam family "Bacterial small subunit ribosomal RNA", at positions 524 to 776 of the family's 1533-position model. The record is from RNAcentral.